CCUACGGUGAGCAGCAGUGAGGAAUAUUGGUCAAUGGGCGGAAGCCUGAACCAGCCAAGUAGCGUGCGGGAUGAAGGCCCUACGGGUCGUAAACCGCUUUUGCACGGGGAUAACACCCUCCACUUGUGGAGGUCUGCAGGUACCGUGCGAAUAAGGGCCGGCUAAUUCCGUGCCAGCAGCCGCGGUAAGACGGAAGGCCCGAGCGUUAGCGGGAUUCAUUGGGCUUAAAGGGAGCGUAGGCGGGCGGUCAAUUCAGCUGUAAAAUCGCGCGGCUCAACCGCGCCCCGCAGUUGAAACUGGACGCCUUGAGUACACAACAGGCAGGCGGAAUUCGUGGUGUAGCGGUGAAAUGCAUAGAUAUCACGAGGAACCCCGAUUGCGAAGGCAGCCUGCCGGGGUGCGACUGACGCUGAGGCUCGAAGGUGCGGGUAUCAAACAGGAUUAGAUACCCUUGUAGUC
RNAcentral lists this ribosomal RNA (459 nucleotides) under uncultured bacterium. RNAcentral describes it as "partial 16S ribosomal RNA". It matches the Rfam family "Bacterial small subunit ribosomal RNA", at positions 338 to 795 of the family's 1533-position model. The record is from RNAcentral.